This 657-nucleotide long non-coding RNA is filed under the name Homo sapiens (human). Its description in RNAcentral is "HSALNT0389407". Lineage: Eukaryota; Metazoa; Chordata; Mammalia; Primates; Hominidae. The record is from RNAcentral.
AAUCAAUUGGUGAUUCAUAGGCACUAUAUUUCCCCCUCAAUCCAUUCGCAAGAGAAGUGUUAUAAUAACAUGUCAGGGAGGUGUGGAUAAGCGGCAUCAUGGAGCCUGGUUUAUAAUGCAGUUUGUUAACAGAUGCUAACGUCCCGAUUAUGCAUUCCAGCAUCAUUUAUACCCAGCUCCAUGGCACGGGCAGGCUCUAUUUAUCCAGAGCAAUUAUCUUCAGACUUUGUCAACCUCAGCCCAGAAGAGCGUCCGGCCCUCCAGGAUGGCUGAGAGCUUUGAAGAGACACCUCAAUGCAGAAGGGAACACAGGACUCACAGAAGACAUGGAUCUCAUCCAAAGGGCCAUCCAUCCCUGAGAGGGCUGAGGGCUCCCAGGAACCAAGACCAUCUGUCCCCUGGUUGUCUCCUCCUACUGCGUCUCCCUUCAACUUGAAAUCUCUUCCCUUUAAGUGAAUUCUGCUGGGCUUUCUUCUGUUCCCAGGUAUCUCAAUAUCACCUGGGGAACCAGAGCUACUCCCCACUUCCUGGGCUCAUAUCCAAACUUACUUGAUCAUAGGAAGCCAUGGAGUUUUGUAGUGAAAUAUAAGGGCUAUGGGGACAAAUCCCUUGCCUUCUAGCACUCAUUGUGUGAUGUUGAAUAAAUAAUUUAACUUC